CGUCACGUGCUCGGCUCUUACCAAGGAUCCAGAGAGUUUGGAUCUCGAUGGAUACAGAAAUAGUGAGAGAUCAGUCUCGACCGACCUAAAGAAAUCAGACAUAGAAAGCCAAACCGACUUGCCUAUGGGAUAAUCACUUUAUGGAUGGCAGCUCGGGCCUCAGUCGUAACCAAGAGGCUUGGGCUCAGACCUCGACCAUGGUCGAGUUGUCAAGAACUGAUCUGAGAAAGACCGAUCAUUUAAGGCAAAUAUCCUGAUAUGGAUGGAGUCCGCCAUCUCCAUGGCUUUGAAAAGUCUGAAUAAGGAAGGAAAUCGCCAAGAUCAAUUCGCGCCACAAAUGGAAACUCAUAGUUGGCUCCACAUUGCAAACACGGGAGAGAUC
This 382-nucleotide long non-coding RNA is filed under the name Elaeis guineensis (African oil palm). RNAcentral's name for it is "long non-coding RNA (EGUI_LNC073202)". The record is from RNAcentral. Lineage: Eukaryota; Viridiplantae; Streptophyta; Magnoliopsida; Arecales; Arecaceae.